ACGGGUGCGUAACGCGUGGGAAUCUGCCCUUUGGUUCGGAAUAACCGUUGGAAACGACGGCUAAUACCGGAUGAUGACGUGAGUCCAAAGAUUUAUCGCCAGAGGAUGAGCCCGCGUGAGAUUAGGUAGUUGGUGGGGUAAAGGCCUACCAAGCCGACGAUCUCUAGCUGGUCUGAGAGGAUGAUCAGCCACACUGGGACUGAGACACGGCCCAGACUCCUACGGGAGGCAGCAGUGGGGAAUAUUGGACAAUGGGCGCAAGCCUGAUCCAGCAAUGCCGCGUGAGUGAUGAAGGCCUUAGGGUUGUAAAGCUCUUUUACCCGGGAUGAUAAUGACAGUACCGGGAGAAUAAGCCCCGGCUAACUCCGUGCCAGCAGCCGCGGUAAUACGGAGGGGGCUAGCGUUGUUCGGAAUUACUGGGCGUAAAGCGCACGUAGGCGGCUUUGUAAGUUAGGGGUGAAAGCCUGGAGCUCAACUCCAGAAUUGCCUUUAAGACUGCAUCGCUUGAAUCCGGGAGAGGUGAGUGGAAUUCCGAGUGUAGAGGUGAAAUUCGUAGA
This 557-nucleotide ribosomal RNA is filed under the name uncultured Sphingomonas sp. RNAcentral's name for it is "bacterial SSU rRNA". It matches the Rfam family "Bacterial small subunit ribosomal RNA", at positions 102 to 694 of the family's 1533-position model. The record is from RNAcentral. Lineage: Bacteria; Pseudomonadati; Pseudomonadota; Alphaproteobacteria; Sphingomonadales; Sphingomonadaceae.